CAUGCACAUCUCAUUCGCAUUACACCCCCCUCCCACUGUGUGGUGGUUCACCUCACUCCACUCACCAAGGUCCUUGUCAACCCUCCUAUUGCAGGAUCCAGGCACCUCUUCUCCACACUCACCUUCCUCAGUGCCCUGCUCCCUUCACCAGGUUCACUCACCUUUGCAGAACCCCUCUCUCCCCAUAGGGUUGCCAAAUUAAAAAGGCAGGAAGCUUGAGUCUCAGAUAGACCAGAAUAACAUUUUACUCUACUUAUGACCCAAAUAUUGCAUGAGACACAUUCAUACUCAUAAUUAUUCAUCGUCUAUCUGAAAUUCCAAUUUAACUGGAUAUCCUGCCUUUUUAUUUGCUAAAUCUGGCAACCUUGUUUUCCCGAAUCUCUGCUCCCACACACUCCACACCUUCCUGUCCCUUCUCUAAUUGCUCCUCCUCAGUCCUUCCCUUUAUCAGCCUGGCCCAGGGUGGUGGCCUUGAGCACCUUCUCUUCCUCAACCCUUGCUCUUCUGGGACAGUUCCUCUGGACCUGGGACCCAUCUCCACUUGGGACUGGCCUUGCCAGAGUCCUCCAGGACCUCAUCUCCAGCUCCUGUUGCAGAAGCCACCCAUCCCCUGAGCAUGUGGCAAUGAUCUUGUGCGUGCCUGGACACUGUACCUGCUCAGCCUGACAAGCCAGCCCAAGGGCAUUGUCCUCCCAGCUCUCCGGGGUUCUCCCAGCUCUCACCGAAUCUGCUGCCUUAUCCAGGAGUACACCAAGUACUGGAUCAUGCUUGAUCAACUCCCACCUUCUCUGUGCAGUGCCUGGCCACAGUCAGUACUCAGUCAGAGUUCAUGGAAGGAAGGAGUGAGUGACUGAACAGGUGUUCAUCCCUAACAGACAUCUUGCACUUAGACUCUGUCUCAGUGUUCACUCACGGAGAACACAACCUGCAACAACUGCCUUCACUCCAGCUCUAGAGCUGCCUGAAGUUGGCUCCUUUCCACACACACCUAGGAAGGCCCUGCUUGAGGGCUAUAGUGUCCAGAGGGACUAGGACAUGGUCCCAGGAGCUCCUGUCUCUGGACUGAGCUCUCUCUUCCCUGGGUUCACCCUAUCCCAUCCCUUCACCCAUCCCUCUCCACCAGCCUGACCCUGCCUGCACCCUUCACCCCACCCACCCCCACCACUUGGCACCUCCCGGCUCCAAGCCUCUCUCAGCCUUCCCUGUGGCAUUCAUGUGGCAAAAGCAGCCUGUCUGGACACUAUUAUGAGCCAGAGCCCCCCUCAGCCUCAGUCCUGCUCCCCUGAACAGGCAGACCCU
This is a long non-coding RNA of Ictidomys tridecemlineatus (thirteen-lined ground squirrel), 1299 nucleotides long. RefSeq lists it as uncharacterized. NCBI's taxonomy places the organism in Eukaryota, Metazoa, Chordata, Mammalia, Rodentia, Sciuridae. The record is from RefSeq and is a predicted model, not a curated record.